GACAGAGGGUGCAAAUGUUGCUCGGAAUCACUGGGCGUAAAGGGCGUGUAGGCGGAUCGGCAAGUCGGGCGUGAAAUCCCUGGGCUCAACCCAGGAACUGCACUCGAAACUGCCUUUCUUGAGUGCCGGAGAGGAAAGCGGAAUACCUGGUGUAGAGGUGAAAUUCGUAGAUAUCAGGUGGAACACCAGUGGCGAAGGCGGCUUUCUGGACGGUAACUGACGCUGAGACGCGAAAGCGUGGGGAGCAAACAGG
RNAcentral lists this ribosomal RNA (253 nucleotides) under uncultured bacterium. RNAcentral's name for it is "partial 16S ribosomal RNA". It matches the Rfam family "Bacterial small subunit ribosomal RNA", at positions 524 to 776 of the family's 1533-position model. The record is from RNAcentral.